Mycena latifolia is the source of this 91-nucleotide non-coding RNA. NCBI's taxonomy places the organism in Eukaryota, Fungi, Basidiomycota, Agaricomycetes, Agaricales, Mycenaceae. The record is from the annotation of a GenBank genome assembly.
GACCUAGUAGCGAAAUGAAUCGCACCCGCGCUUGUUGAACAGCUGAGAUUAAUACUCGAGGGGGUUCCUGGUUCGAAUCCAGGCUAGGUCA